RNAcentral lists this small RNA (846 nucleotides) under Pan troglodytes (chimpanzee). Its description in RNAcentral is "processed transcript". The record is from RNAcentral. Lineage: Eukaryota; Metazoa; Chordata; Mammalia; Primates; Hominidae.
AAAAUUCGGAUAUUUGAGACCCACGGAGCUGAAACUCGCCGAAUGAGUGAGGGUGAAGCAAGGUCCCUUCCAAAUGACAUAUCUUCAGAGGCACCCGUGGGACAAGCAGAGCAGCAGCGGAGUACGCUCUCAGACCUGGGCUUCGCCCAACUCCAGCCCCCAGGGGACUUUGCCAGCCCCAAAGCCACACAUUCCACAGUGAUACCUCUGGCUACCAGACACUUCAGGGAGGACACUUCUGCAUCCUACCAGGAAGCACACACGGAACUAGAGCCCGUGUCCCCUGAUUCGGGCUGUGAAACCACGCUGGCAGAAGCUACUGGAACUGGGAGAGCAGGGCUGAGGGAGGGCUCCGAGGAGAAAGUCAAACCACCACGUCCCCGGGCCCCAGAGAGUGACACGGGCGAUGAGGACCAGGACCAGGAGAGGGACACGGUGUUCCUGAAGGACAACCACCUGGCCAUUGAGCGCAAGUGCUCCAGCAUCACGGUCAGCUCUACGUCUAGCCUGGAGGCUGAGGUGGACUUCACGGUCAUUGGUGACUACCACGGCAGCGCCUUCGAAGACUUCUCCCGCAGCCUGCCUGAGCUCGACCGGGACAAAAGCGACUCGGACACUGAGGGCCUGGUGUUCUCCCGGGAUCUCAACAAGGGGGCCCCCAGCCAGGAUGAUGAGUCUGGGGGCAUUGAGGACAGCCCGGAUCGAGGGGCCUGCUCCACCCCGGAUAUGCCCCAGUUUGAGCCUGUGAAAACAGAAACCAUGACUGUCAGCAGUCUGGCCAUUAGAAAGAAGAUUGAGCCGGAGGCCGUACUGCAGACCAGAGUCUCCGCUAUGGAUAACACCCAG